Long non-coding RNA from Peromyscus leucopus (white-footed mouse), 743 nucleotides. RefSeq lists it as uncharacterized. The transcript is spliced from 3 exons. The record is from RefSeq and is a predicted model, not a curated record. NCBI's taxonomy places the organism in Eukaryota, Metazoa, Chordata, Mammalia, Rodentia, Cricetidae.
GCUCUCCCCUUGCACACAGCUACCAUCUCCAUGGCAACCUCACCUCCUCCUGCUUCCCUAUUGGCUUCAUGGAGCAGGAUACACAAAAAGGGAACAUCAGUCUGCUGACUCCUUCCACCCUAAGCCAAGGAGAGAAAAGCCAUGCCUACAGGCAGAACAGUAUCUACCCUCUGACGGAACUUCCUCCAUCACAGAAACAGGAGUGGGGAGGUGAGGAUGAAAGCCGACACACUGCAAAUUCUGCAUCCAAAUGCUCACCUCCCAGGCUGACCUCCUAUGGAAACUGGAGCAGACUCUCACACCCAUCAUCUACAACAUAGCUCCACACAAGGAUGCUCUCAAAACUGCUGACUAAAUGGUCACUGCAUCCUUUUGGAGAAGUUUCUGAGAAAGGUCUGACAGGAGAAUGUACCGCAGCUUUGGACACAGCAUGCAAGAGUUAAGCCUACCUCUCUGAUAUUCACUAGUUCUGUGACAAUAGUGAAUGCAGUUUUCCUAUGUGAAAGGGGAAAUGAGGCUGUGUAUCUAUCAGUUUAAUGAAGAAGAAAUAAUAGGAGCCUUGUACUUGACAAAUGAGUGCACACCUUGGCUGCCUCCUUUUCUCCAGAGCUAACAAUAAUAAAGAAAAGAGGAUCCUAUUGGUCAUCUGAGAACAUUACAAGAUGUGGGUGUUUAAAUAUUGGUAAUCUCCUUCAUCAGCAAAGCUAGGGCUCAUUCAUAAUAAAGGUGACUGUAUGACCUGU